AGUGAACGCUGGCGGUAGGCCUAACACAUGCAAGUCGAACGGCAGCACAGGAGAGCUUGCUCUCUAGGUGGCGAGUGGCGGACGGGUGAGGAAUACAUCGGAAUCUGCCCAGUCGUGGGGGAUAACGUAGGGAAACUUACGCUAAUACCGCAUACGACCUUCGGGUGAAAGAGGGGGAUCGCAAGACCUCUCGCGAUUGGAUGAGCCGAUGUCGGAUUAGCUAGUCAGCGGGGUAAUGGCCCACCAAGGCGACGAUCCGUAGCUGGUCUGAGAGGAUGAUCAGCCACACUGGAACUGAGACACGGUCCAGACUCCUACGGGAGGCAGCAGUGGGGAAUAUUGGACAAUGGGCGCAAGCCUGAUCCAGCCAUACCGCGUGGGUGAAGAAGGCCUUCGGGUUGUAAAGCCCUUUUGUUGGGAAAGAAAUCUUUCAGGCUAAUACCCUGGGAGGAUGACGGUACCCAAAGAAUAAGCACCGGCUAACUUCGUG
RNAcentral lists this ribosomal RNA (490 nucleotides) under uncultured bacterium. Its description in RNAcentral is "partial 16S ribosomal RNA". It matches the Rfam family "Bacterial small subunit ribosomal RNA", at positions 29 to 507 of the family's 1533-position model. The record is from RNAcentral.